UACUAAUAAACAGACCUUGAGACUUAAUUCCUCAAGACAGGUAAUAAAUGGUACACUCCCAGAAUAAGAUAUGGAAACGAAGCCAUUUGGGGGACAAUAUCUGAAAUAUCAGCUAUUUUCUCAAAGCCAAGCAAAGAAAAGAGAAAGGGAAUUAUAGUUGGAUCAGUUAUACGAUCCUAGAGAAGGAGCCUGUUAUCAACUGUACAGGAGCACAGCCAAAUAAGCCUUGUCACUGUGCUUUGGGCUUGAAUGGUUGAGAGGUACCCCGCCAAUACACAGCCCACAUGUGAUA
RNAcentral lists this long non-coding RNA (292 nucleotides) under Bos taurus (domestic cattle). Its description in RNAcentral is "long non-coding RNA NONBTAT017465". The record is from RNAcentral. Lineage: Eukaryota; Metazoa; Chordata; Mammalia; Artiodactyla; Bovidae.